This 119-nucleotide ribosomal RNA is filed under the name Octopus vulgaris (common octopus). The record is from RNAcentral. Lineage: Eukaryota; Metazoa; Mollusca; Cephalopoda; Octopoda; Octopodidae. RNAcentral also lists the same sequence under 1 other name.
GCUUACGGCCAUAUCACGUUGAAAGCACCGGUUCCCGUCCGAUCACCGAAGUUAAGCAACGUCGAGCCUAGUUAGUACUUAGAUGGGUGACCGCUUGAGAAACCUAAGUGCUGUAAGCG